AGUAACGCGUGAGCAAUCUGCCUUUAAGAGGGGGAUAACAGUCGGAAACGGCUGCUAAUACCGCAUAAAGCAUUAAAUUCGCAUGUUUUUGAUGCCAAAGGAGCAAUCCGCUUUUUAGAUGAGCUCGCGUCUGAUUAGCUGGUUGGCGGGGUAACGGCCCACCAAGGCGACGAUCAGUAGCCGGACUGAGAGGUUGAACGGCCACAUUGGGACUGAGACACGGCCCAG
RNAcentral lists this ribosomal RNA (228 nucleotides) under uncultured bacterium. RNAcentral's name for it is "partial 16S ribosomal RNA". It matches the Rfam family "Bacterial small subunit ribosomal RNA", at positions 109 to 334 of the family's 1533-position model. The record is from RNAcentral.